Molecule: transfer RNA, 89 nt
Filed under: Alphaproteobacteria bacterium
Lineage: Bacteria; Pseudomonadati; Pseudomonadota; Alphaproteobacteria
Description: tRNA-Ser
Rfam family: tRNA
About the family: Transfer RNA (tRNA) molecules are approximately 80 nucleotides in length.
Source: RNAcentral
GGAGGGGUGCCGGAGUGGUCGACCGGGGCGGUCUCGAAAACCGUUGUACCUUAUAGGUACCGUGGGUUCGAAUCCCACCCCCUCCGCCA